Molecule: ribosomal RNA, 324 nt
Filed under: uncultured eukaryote
Lineage: Eukaryota
Description: partial 18S ribosomal RNA
Rfam family: Eukaryotic small subunit ribosomal RNA
Source: RNAcentral
CCCUUAGAUGUUCUGGGCCGCACGCGCGCUACACUGACGGAGUCAACGAGUUGUCCUGCAUCGGAAGGUGUGGGUAAUCUUUUGAAACUUCGUCGUGCUGGGGAUAGAUCUUUGCAAUUUUCGAUCUUGAACGAGGAAUUCCUAGUAAGCGUGAGUCAUCAGAUCGCGUUGAUUACGUCCCUGCCCUUUGUACACACCGCCCGUCGCUACUACCGAUUGAAUGGUUUAGUGAGGCCUCGGGACUGGCGCGCUCGAGUAGCAAUACACCUGCGCGCCGGGAACUUGGUCAAACUUGAUCAUUUAGAGGAAGUAAAAGUCGUAACA